UACGUAGGGAGCAAGCGUUGUCCGGAAUCAUUGGGCGUAAAGCGCGCGUAGGUGGCUUCAUAAGUCCGUUGUGAAAGUCAAAGGCUCAACCUUUGAAAGCCGAUGGAUACUGUGAAGCUAGAGUACGGAAGAGGCGAGUGGAAUUUCCGGUGUAGCGGUGAAAUGCGUAGAUAUCGGAAGGAACACCAGUGGCGAAGGCGGCUACCUGGAUUGACAGCUGACACUGAGGCGCGAAAGCGUGGGGAGCAAACAGG
This 254-nucleotide ribosomal RNA is filed under the name uncultured bacterium. RNAcentral's name for it is "partial 16S ribosomal RNA". It matches the Rfam family "Bacterial small subunit ribosomal RNA", at positions 524 to 776 of the family's 1533-position model. The record is from RNAcentral.